This 253-nucleotide ribosomal RNA is filed under the name uncultured microorganism. Its description in RNAcentral is "partial 16S ribosomal RNA". It matches the Rfam family "Bacterial small subunit ribosomal RNA", at positions 524 to 776 of the family's 1533-position model. The record is from RNAcentral.
UACGGAGGGUGCGAGCGUUAUUCGGAAUCACUGGGCGUAAAGCGCGCGUAGGCGGGUUGACAAGUCAGGUGUGAAAUCCCACGGCUCAACCGUGGAAUUGCACUUGAUACUGUUGACCUAGAGUCUGGCAGAGGGUGGCGGAAUUCCAGGUGUAGUGGUGAAAUACGUAGAUAUCUGGAAGAACACCAGUGGCGAAGGCGGCCACCUGGUCAGAAACUGACGCUGAGGUACGAAAGCGUGGGGAGCAAACAGG